CUUGGUUCAGGAUAAACGCUGGCGGCGUGCUUAACACAUGCAAGUCGAACGGAGUAUCUCUCCCGAGGAUUGACGAAGCUUGCUUCUGAUUGACUCAUUUGAGAUACUAGUGGCGGACGGGUGAGUAACGCGUGGGUAACCUGCCUCACACAGGGGGAUAACAGUUGGAAACGACUGUUAAUACCGCAUAAGCGCACAGCUUCGCAUGAAGCAGUGUGAAAAACUCCGGUGGUGUGAGAUGGACCCGCGUCUGAUUAGCUAGUUGGUGAGGUAACGGCCCACCAAGGCAACGAUCAGUAGCCGGCCUGAGAGGGUGUACGGCCACAUUGGGACUGAGACACGGCCCAAACUCCUACGGGAGGCAGCAGUGGGGAAUAUUGGACAAUGGGGGAAACCCUGAUCCAGCGAACCGCCGCGUGAGUGAUGAAGUAUCUCGGUACGUAAAGCUCUAUCAGCAGGGAAGAAAUUGACGGUACCUGACUAAGAAGCACCGGCUAAAUACGUGCCAGCAGCCGC
Molecule: ribosomal RNA, 516 nt
Filed under: uncultured bacterium
Lineage: Bacteria
Description: bacterial SSU rRNA
Rfam family: Bacterial small subunit ribosomal RNA
Source: RNAcentral